GGGGUUGUGGCUCAGAGGUAGAGCGCUUGCCUGGCAUGCAUGAAGUACUGGGUUCGAUCCUCAGCACCA
This 69-nucleotide transfer RNA is filed under the name Ictidomys tridecemlineatus (thirteen-lined ground squirrel). Its description in RNAcentral is "Spermophilus tridecemlineatus (thirteen-lined ground squirrel) tRNA". It matches the Rfam family "tRNA". Rfam says of the family: Transfer RNA (tRNA) molecules are approximately 80 nucleotides in length. Lineage: Eukaryota; Metazoa; Chordata; Mammalia; Rodentia; Sciuridae. The record is from Rfam by way of RNAcentral.